This 231-nucleotide ribosomal RNA is filed under the name uncultured bacterium. Its description in RNAcentral is "partial 16S ribosomal RNA". It matches the Rfam family "Bacterial small subunit ribosomal RNA", at positions 99 to 334 of the family's 1533-position model. The record is from RNAcentral.
CGGACGGGUGAGUAAUGUCUGGGAAACUGCCUGAUGGAGGGGGAUAACUACUGGAAACGGUAGCUAAUACCGCAUAACGUCGCAAGACCAAAGAGGGGGACCUUCGGGCCUCUUGCCAUCGGAUGUGCCCAGAUGGGAUUAGCUAGUAGGUGGGGUAAAGGCUCACCUAGGCGACGAUCCCUAGCUGGUCUGAGAGGAUGACCAGCCACACUGGAACUGAGCACGGUCCAG